This 103-nucleotide small nuclear RNA is filed under the name Microcebus murinus (gray mouse lemur). Lineage: Eukaryota; Metazoa; Chordata; Mammalia; Primates; Cheirogaleidae. The record is from RNAcentral.
AUGCUUUGGCAGCGCAUAUACUAAAACUGGAACAAUACAGAGAAGAUUGGCAUGGCCCCUGUGCAAAGAUGAGCUGCAAGUUCAAAAAAUUAAAAAAAAAAAA